This 253-nucleotide ribosomal RNA is filed under the name uncultured bacterium. Its description in RNAcentral is "partial 16S ribosomal RNA". It matches the Rfam family "Bacterial small subunit ribosomal RNA", at positions 524 to 776 of the family's 1533-position model. The record is from RNAcentral.
UACGAAGGGGGCUAGCGUUGCUCGGAAUCACUGGGCGUCAAGGGCGCGUAGGCGGCCAAGUAAGUUGGGGGUGAAAGCCCGUGGCUCAACCACGGAAUUGCCUUCGAUACUGCUUGGCUUGAGACCGGAAGAGGUGAGUGGAACUGCGAGUGUAGAGGUGAAAUUCGUAGAUAUUCGCAAGAACACCAGUGGCGAAGGCGGCUCACUGGUCCGGAUCUGACGCUGAGGCGCGAAAGCGUGGGGAGCAAACAGG